ACGAGUUAGGGUCUUUCAGGCCCGACCUCCCAACCCUAUGUUUAUUGAACCUCUGUUGCUUCGGCGGACCCGUCUCACGACCGCCGGAGGACCGCCGCGAGGCGUCCUCUGGCCCGCGUCCGCCGAGAGCCAACCACUUAACACUCUGAAUGAAUCGUGUCGUUAUGUCUAAGUCUAUGAUUAAAUUAAAGCA
This 193-nucleotide unclassified non-coding RNA is filed under the name uncultured fungus. RNAcentral's name for it is "sequence contains ITS1, 5.8S rRNA gene". The record is from RNAcentral. Lineage: Eukaryota; Fungi.